UAGGGAAUCUUCGGCAAUGGGGGGAACCCUGACCGAGCAACGCCGCGUGAGUGAAGAAGGUUUUCGGAUCGUAAAGCUCUGUUGUUAAGGAAGAACGAGUGUGAGAAUGGAAAGUUCAUGCUGUGACGGUACUUAACCAGAAAGGGACGGCUAACUACGUGCCAGCAGCCGCGGUAAUACGUAGGUCCCGAGCGUUGUCCGGAUUUAUUGGGCGUAAAGCGAGCGCAGGCGGUUAGAAAAGUCUGAAGUGAAAGGCAGUGGCUCAACCAUUGUAGGCUUUGGAAACUGUUUAACUUGAGAGCAGAAGGGGAGAGUGGAAUUCCAUGUGUAGCGGUGAAAUGCGUAGAUAUAUGGAGGAACACCGGUGGCGAAAGCGGCUCUCUGGUCUGUAACUGACGCUGAGGCUCGAAAGCGUGGGGAGCGAACAGG
RNAcentral lists this ribosomal RNA (429 nucleotides) under Bacteroidota bacterium. RNAcentral describes it as "Bacteroidetes bacterium partial 16S ribosomal RNA". It matches the Rfam family "Bacterial small subunit ribosomal RNA", at positions 355 to 776 of the family's 1533-position model. Lineage: Bacteria; Pseudomonadati; Bacteroidota. The record is from RNAcentral.